RNAcentral lists this unclassified non-coding RNA (212 nucleotides) under plant metagenome. RNAcentral describes it as "partial contains small subunit ribosomal RNA, internal transcribed spacer 1, and 5.8S ribosomal RNA". The record is from RNAcentral.
UUUCCGUAGGUGAACCUGCGGAAGGAUCAUUCAUAAUAAGUGUUUUAUGGCAUUUUUUUAAAUCCAUAUCCACCUUGUGUGCAAUGUCAGGGUUGAUUUUUUUUUGAAAGGAUCAGGCCCAAACAUCAACUAUAUCUCAACUCUUUGGCUGAAAAAUAUUAUGAAUAAAACAAUUCAAAAUACAACUUUCAACAACGGAUCUCUUGGCUCUC